AGAAUCAACGCUGGCGGCGUGCCUAACACAUGCAAGUCGAACGCGAAAGUGGAGCAAUCCAUAAGUAGAGUGGCGAACGGGUGAGUAACACGUGGGUGACCUACCCUCGAGUGGGGGAUAACAUCCCGAAAGGGUGCUAAUACCGCAUGACAUCCUGUCUUUGAACAGAUGGACAUUAAAGCCGGGGAUCGCAAGACCUGGCGCUCGUGGAGGGGCCCGCGCCCGAUUAGCUAGUUGGUGAGGUAACGGCUCACCAAGGCUUCGAUCGGUA
RNAcentral lists this ribosomal RNA (271 nucleotides) under uncultured bacterium. RNAcentral's name for it is "partial small subunit ribosomal RNA". It matches the Rfam family "Bacterial small subunit ribosomal RNA", at positions 26 to 285 of the family's 1533-position model. The record is from RNAcentral.